This 465-nucleotide ribosomal RNA is filed under the name uncultured bacterium. RNAcentral's name for it is "partial 16S ribosomal RNA". It matches the Rfam family "Bacterial small subunit ribosomal RNA", at positions 28 to 507 of the family's 1533-position model. The record is from RNAcentral.
GACGAACGCUGGCGGCGUGCUUAACACAUGCAAGUCGUACGGUAAGGCCCUUUCGGGGGUACACGAGUGGCGAACGGGUGAGUAACACGUGAGUAACCUGCCCACAACUUUGGGAUAACGCUAGGAAACUGGUGCUAAUACUGGAUAUGUGCUCCUGCUGCAUGGUGGGGGUUGGAAAGCUCCGGCGGUUGUGGAUGGACUCGCGGCCUAUCAGCUUGUUGGUGGGGUAGUGGCCUACCAAGGCGGCGACGGGUAGCCGGCCUGAGAGGGUGACCGGCCACAUUGGGACUGAGAUACGGCCCAGACUCCUACGGGAGGCAGCAGUGGGGAAUAUUGCACAAUGGGCGCAAGCCUGAUGCAGCAACGCCGCGUGCGGGAUGACGGCCUUUGGGUUGUAAACCGCUUUCAGCAGGGACGAAGCUUUUUGUGACGGUACCUGCAGAAGAAGCACCGGCUAACUACGUG